UUUGAUUAUGGCUCAGAUUGAACGCUGGCGGCAGGCCUAACACAUGCAAGUCGAGCGCGAAAGCUCUUCGGAGUGAGUAGAGCGGCGGACGGGUGAGUAACGCGUAGGAAUCUACCCAGUAGUGGGGGACAACUUGGGGAAACUCAAGCUAAUACCGCAUACGCCCUAUGGGGGAAAGCGGGGGACCUUCGGGCCUCGUGCUAUUGGAUGAGCCUGCGUUGGAUUAGCUAGUUGGUGGGGUAAAGGCCCACCAAGGCGACGAUCCAUAGCCGGUCUGAGAGGAUGAUCAGCCACACUGGGACUGAGACACGGCCCAGACUCCUACGGGAGGCAGCAGUGGGGAAUCUUGGACAAUGGGCGCAAACCUGAUCCAGCCAUGCCGCGUGAGUGAUGAAGGCCUUAGGGUCGUAAAGCUCUUUCGCCAGAGAUGAUAAUGACAGUAUCUGGUAAAGAAACCCCGGCUAACUCCGUGCCAGCAGCCGCGGUAAUACGGAGGGGGUUAGCGUUGUUCGGAAAUACUGGGGCGUAAAGCGCGCGUAGGCGGGAUAGUAAGUUAGAGGUGAAAUCCCGGGGCUCAACCCCGGACUGCCUUAAUACUGCUAGUCUUG
Molecule: ribosomal RNA, 608 nt
Filed under: uncultured bacterium
Lineage: Bacteria
Description: bacterial SSU rRNA
Rfam family: Bacterial small subunit ribosomal RNA
Source: RNAcentral